Molecule: long non-coding RNA, 678 nt
Filed under: Homo sapiens (human)
Lineage: Eukaryota; Metazoa; Chordata; Mammalia; Primates; Hominidae
Description: non-protein coding lnc-PDE1A-2:2
Source: RNAcentral
AUUUUAGAACAAGCCACCACAAGCCAGGAAUGCUGCUUAAAAAGCAAGUGGAAGAUGAAUUCUUCCAGGUGAAAUGAAAACAUCAGAGCAAUUUGAAAACAUCAAAGCAGUUUUAAAAUGUCUCUAAAAUGCAUAUAUUUUGGACUUACAAAGAGAUGAAGAAGAAAGCAUAAUUUCUCAUGAGAAAUCAUGAAGCCAGAAGGAAGCAGCACAACGGUCUUCAAGUACUGAACAAAAUGAACUAUCAACUGUAGAAUUCAAUAUUCAGUAAAAUCAUCCUUUAGGAAUGAAAGAGAAAUAAAGUUUUUCUUUAUCCACCAUUAGACAAAGGAAACCAAGAGAAUUUGCCAGUAGCAGAUAUACCCUCACUAGCAGAUAUACCCUAAAUGAAUGGCAAAGGAAGUCCUCUAUAACCAGAAGAAAAAGGAUUGAAAAAAGGAGUCUUAGAACACCAGGAAGAAAAGAAGAAUAAUGGAAAAAGCAAAAAUGGCAAGUUGAGCAGUGAAGUGGCAGCCUGCUGUGUUGGGGUGAUGGCCUCACUUUUGUCAUAUUAAUGUGAGAUACAUAAGCAGGUGAGUGUCAGAGGAGAAUGUAGGAUUGUGGGCAAUCCUAAACCAGUUAGUUAGGUAGAAUUCACCGAAAUCGAAUUAAAUUUCACAAAACUACCAUUGCUGUGUG